AUGCACGCUGGCGGCGUGCCUCAUCCCUGCCAGUCGAGCGAACGGACGAGAAGCUUGCUUCUCUGAUGUUAGCGGCGGACGGGUGAGUAACACGUGGAUAACCUACCUAUAAGACUGGGAUAACUUCGGGAAACCGGAGCUAAUACCGGAUAAUAUUUUGAACCGCAUGGUUCAAAAGUGAAAGACGGUCUUGCUGUCACUUAUAGAUGGAUCCGCGCUGCAUUAGCUAGUUGGUAAGGUAACGGCUUACCAAGGCAACGAUGCAUAGCCGACCUGAGAGGGUGAUCGGCCACACUGGAACUGAGACACGGUCCAGACUCCUACGGGAGGCAGCAGUAGGGAAUCUUCCGCAAUGGGCGAAAGCCUGACGGAGCAACGCCGCGUGAGUGAUGAAGGUCUUCGGAUCGUAAAACUCUGUUAUUAGGGAAGAACAUAUGUGUAAGUAACUGUGCACAUCUUGACGGUACCUAAUCAGAAAGCCACGGCUAACUACGUG
Molecule: ribosomal RNA, 496 nt
Filed under: uncultured bacterium
Lineage: Bacteria
Description: partial 16S ribosomal RNA
Rfam family: Bacterial small subunit ribosomal RNA
Source: RNAcentral